UAAUAUAUCGGAACGUGCCUUAGAGUGGGGGAUAACGUAGCGAAAGUUACGCUAAUACCGCAUACGAUCUACGGAUGAAAGUGGGGGAUCGCAAGACCUCAUGCUCCUAGAGCGGCCGAUAUCUGAUUAGCUAGUUGGUGGGGUAAAGGCCUACCAAGGCGACGAUCAGUAGCUGGUCUGAGAGGACGACCAGCCACACUGGGACUGAGACACGGCCCAG
Molecule: ribosomal RNA, 220 nt
Filed under: uncultured bacterium
Lineage: Bacteria
Description: partial 16S ribosomal RNA
Rfam family: Bacterial small subunit ribosomal RNA
Source: RNAcentral